RNAcentral lists this ribosomal RNA (357 nucleotides) under Triticum aestivum (bread wheat). RNAcentral describes it as "partial small subunit ribosomal RNA". Lineage: Eukaryota; Viridiplantae; Streptophyta; Magnoliopsida; Poales; Poaceae. The record is from RNAcentral.
AUGCCGACCUCCAGGUUCACCUGCUCCGACAGCGCCAGGAUGGGGCGCCGCGUGGACUCGCCGGUGCGGGUGUUGAGGCGGAUCUCCGUGAGCACGCUCUCCAGGCACUCGUCCGACUCGUUGAAGAUGGAGUCGGCGGGGGUCAUGCAGGAGCCGAUCACCACCACCUCGUCGCUCUCCUCCUCCUCCCACGCGUUCCAGAGGUGGAAGCAGAAGCAGUCCGGCACGUCCACCCACACCAUCUCCGACGCGUCCGCCGCGCACUUUGGCAGCACACCGAAGCGGGACGUCUUCUCCUUGUCGAGCACCACGGGCGAGCCGCCGCGCAGCAUCUCUUGCAGCUUGAACACCACCUGA